This 1568-nucleotide long non-coding RNA is filed under the name Sorghum bicolor (sorghum). Its description in RNAcentral is "long non-coding RNA (SBIC_LNC003273)". Lineage: Eukaryota; Viridiplantae; Streptophyta; Magnoliopsida; Poales; Poaceae. The record is from RNAcentral.
AGUAUUCUAUCCUAUUUAUUUUCAUGCAUUUUAUCAUUCUUACUUAAAAAAAAUAAAUAUUUAUUAGCAUUUCCCUUUAGCAUAUAUGCUUCAUGUAUGUUUAUAUCCCUCAUGGAAAUUAUGACUAGUUGCUUGUUAAUGUUUCUCUAGUGCCUAGUAUACAACUUAGUAUUUCUCUAAGUAUGGAUCACUUAGCUCACUUAAACUGCCAUGAACCUAAAAACUUUGUGGGUUGCAAGUGCUAGAACUAAGUCUAAGUUGUUGUGGGACAUGAGAUAGUAAGGCAAGAGCUAUUAUAAUAUUUUUCUAAGCAUGCAUGAUUAUCAGAGAUUAUUCUUAAAAUGAUCAAAACCUUAAUUGUUCCUCAAUGGUGAUGAAUUCCUACCACAGCCAUAUCUACUUUACAUAAUUGCAACCUUUCCACAUAAGCUAUUUGCUUUGUGUUGAGUGUCGUCAAGUCUUGUUGACCCUUGUUAAGAGACUUUUCAUGCUCCUAAGAUCAAGAUCACGUACACACCACAUAUAUAUAUGCUGCUUCUACACUGGAAGUACGCAACCACAUGUAUUUCGCAUCCACUAAAUAGGUUGCUCCAUACUCUAAAUGUUAGAACAUCUCUCUAAGUAUUAUUUGGUAAAUGAGACAUCAAAAGGCUAGGCAAAAUGAAAUAAAAAGAUGGACAUGUGCAAGUCCACAGAAAAAGAAAAUUGAGCACAUGAAAGCUCAUAUAUAAAAAAAAAGAAGAAAAAAAAUGCUAGCCAUGUCUCAAUACAUAGAGAGUCUAUCAAAUAAAGGAGCAACCUAGUCCACCAUAUAUCACACUUGCACAUCUUGAUCUGGGAGUAUGACACUUCUCUUCAAGGAUCCGAGCUUUGACUUCGCAAUACAUGCAAAGUAAGUAUGCUAUCUCCUUUCAUCCCUACCUUGAACUCCACAUAAGCCUUUUAGAAAUAGGAUGAAAUAGAGAAGGCAACUCUUACCAUAUGCCUUGGUGAGGAAUCAUACACCAUUUGAGUGACAUGAGAGAACCAUAAGAGGAACAUUUAAGCUUUCUUUUGAAAAUAUCACAAAACCUCUGAUAUGAAACUUGCUAAGAAUGAGAAAGUUAGUGCUCAAGUCAAACUGUUCUGUCUCUCAACCACCUAAGACAAAGGAAAAGCCAUAACCCCCAUAAGGGACUAAGGUAAUAGGGGUAAGUUUACAUAGCUAAAUUUUUCAUGCAAAGAGAAGAACUUUGUUGUACACAUGGUACUCUUCAAAUGUGAACAUAGUAACAAUACCUGAUCCACCGAGGCUAAGUUUGAUUGUUUGCUCGGGACGAGCAAAGGUUAAGCUUGGGGGAUCUUGUUGACGGUGGAUAUACCAUAGAAAUCCACAUACAAAACACCGUCAACAUGCCUCGGUUGCAAGGGGAAACGACAUGACAUGAACAUAUUUUAUCCAUAACUAGUUCCACUUGUACUCUUAGCUUGUUUAUGCAGGAACAACAAAUUCAAGACAUUAUUUGACAAAGCCAACAUCAGAAUCAUCAAGAGGAGAUCGAGGGGACAACAGGUGACACCCUGGGCCC